This 73-nucleotide transfer RNA is filed under the name Merismopedia sp. SIO2A8. RNAcentral's name for it is "tRNA-Met". It matches the Rfam family "tRNA". Rfam says of the family: Transfer RNA (tRNA) molecules are approximately 80 nucleotides in length. Their secondary structure includes four short double-helical elements and three loops (D, anti-codon, and T loops). Further hydrogen bonds mediate the characteristic L-shaped molecular structure. tRNAs have two regions of fundamental functional importance: the anti-codon, which is responsible for specific mRNA codon recognition, and the 3' end, to which the tRNAs corresponding amino acid is attached (by aminoacyl-tRNA synthetases). tRNAs cope with the degeneracy of the genetic code in two manners: having more than one tRNA (with a specific anti-codon) for a particular amino acid; and 'wobble' base-pairing, i.e. permitting non-standard base-pairing at the 3rd anti-codon position. The record is from RNAcentral. Lineage: Bacteria; Bacillati; Cyanobacteriota; Cyanophyceae; Synechococcales; Merismopediaceae.
GCGGGGAUGGAGCAAAAGUUGGCUCGACGGUCUCAUAAGCCGUAAAUCAGUGAGUGCAAUUCUCACCCCUGCG